ACAGCAGUCGCCGCGGUAAUACGGAGGGUGCAAGCGUUAUCCGGAUUUAUUGGGUUUAAAGGGUCCGUAGGCGGAUCUGUAAGUCAGUGGUGAAAUCUCACAGCUUAACUGUGAAACUGCCAUUGAUACUGCAGGUCUUGAGUAAAUUUGAAGUGGCUGGAAUAAGUAGUGUAGCGGUGAAAUGCAUAGAUAUUACUUAGAACACCAAUUGCGAAGGCAGGUCACUAAGAUUUAACUGACGCUGAUGGACGAAAGCGUGGGGAGCGAACAGGAUUAGAUACCCCUGUAGUCCCUGUCUCUUAUAA
This 305-nucleotide ribosomal RNA is filed under the name uncultured bacterium. RNAcentral's name for it is "partial 16S ribosomal RNA". It matches the Rfam family "Bacterial small subunit ribosomal RNA", at positions 508 to 809 of the family's 1533-position model. The record is from RNAcentral.